GACGAACGCUGGCGGCGUGCCUAAUACAUGCAAGUCGAGCGGACUUUCAAGAAGCUUGCUUUUUGAAAGUUAGCGGCGGACGGGUGAGUAACACGUGGGCAACCUGCCUGCAAGACGGGGAUAACUCCGGGAAACCGGGGCUAAUACCGGAUAAUAUCUUCCUUCGCAUGAAGGAAGGUUGAAAGGCGGCGCAAGCUGCCGCUUGCAGAUGGGCCCGCGGCGCAUUAGCUAGUUGGUGAGGUAACGGCCCACCAAGGCGACGAUGCGUAGCCGACCUGAGAGGGUGAUCGGCCACACUGGGACUGAGACACGGCCCAGACUCCUACGGGAGGCAGCAGUAGGGAAUCUUCCGCAAUGGACGAAAGUCUGACGGAGCAACGCCGCGUGAGCGAAGAAGGUCUUCGGAUCGUAAAGCUCUGUUGUCAGGGAAGAACAAGUACCGUUCGAACAGGGCGGUACCUUGACGGUACCUGACCAGAAAGCCACGGCUAACUACGUG
Molecule: ribosomal RNA, 499 nt
Filed under: uncultured bacterium
Lineage: Bacteria
Description: partial 16S ribosomal RNA
Rfam family: Bacterial small subunit ribosomal RNA
Source: RNAcentral